This 509-nucleotide ribosomal RNA is filed under the name uncultured Glomus. RNAcentral describes it as "SSU rRNA". It matches the Rfam family "Eukaryotic small subunit ribosomal RNA", at positions 569 to 1081 of the family's 1831-position model. The record is from RNAcentral. Lineage: Eukaryota; Fungi; Glomeromycota; Glomeromycetes; Glomerales; Glomeraceae.
AGCAGCCGCGGUAAUUCCAGCUCCAAUAGCGUAUAUUAAAGUUGCUGCAGUUAAAAAGCUCGUAGUUGAAUUUCGGGAUCAUCAUGUCGGUCGUGCCUCGGUACGUACUGGUAUUGUUGGUUUCUCCCUUCUGACGAACCAUGAUGUCAUUUAUUUGGUGUUGUGGGGAAUCAGGACUGUUACUUUGAAAAAAUUAGAGUGUUUAAAGCAGGCUCACGCUUGAAUACAUUAGCAUGGAAUAAUGAAAUAGGACGUUUGAUUCUAUUUUGUUGGUUUCUAGGAUCGACGUAAUGAUUAAUAGGGAUAGUUGGGGGCAUUAGUAUUCAAUUGUCAGAGGUGAAAUUCUUGGAUUUAUUGAAGACUAACUACUGCGAAAGCAUUUGCCAAGGAUGUUUUCAUUAAUCAAGAACGAAAGUUAGGGGAUCGAAGACGAUCAGAUACCGUCGUAGUCUUAACCAUAAACUAUGCCGACUAGGGAUCGGAUGAUGUUAAUUUUUAAUGACUCAUUC